RNAcentral lists this long non-coding RNA (2222 nucleotides) under Pelobates cultripes (western spadefoot toad). Lineage: Eukaryota; Metazoa; Chordata; Amphibia; Anura; Pelobatidae. The record is from RNAcentral.
AUGGACAUGGAAUUGCAAAGAAUAGUGAAGGGAGGCUCACAGUGCUCCCUCCAGCCGCCAGCACACCAUUCAUUAAUCACCUCAGACUGACACCGGCCGUCACAGUCUGGGGGGGGGAAUAAUUUCAAUGGCAUUUUUAGAGCUGUCAGCCUGGGUGGGCCAGUUAAGUCCCCCUCCACCCAGACUGCAACCGGGCCACACUGCUAGUGGUCUUGGGUCAUGUGCGGGUAGGACACCCUAGCUUUAAAUAUAUGAUUCCCACUUUUGAUAGCAGGGACUGGGAAGGUAGAGGAAUGAUACAUUUGCACCAAUUAUGGUCAGGUGUCAAGUCAUUCGCAAUGCUCCAAACUGAAUAUGGUAUUACCCCUAUACUUUUCUUGUUAUAUCUCCAAUUAAGCUCUACAUUAAGGCCUGUUUCCAAGGUAUUUUUUAUUUUUUUUCCUAUUAUCUAUUUUAUUUAUUUACUUUGUUCUUGGUGCACCCUGUAAUUGUUGUUUCCUAUACUCAAGGAGAGGCUGUUAUGGCAAAUUAAAGUCUCUAAAUCUUUUGACAUAAGUCACCAAUCUAGACAUGUCGCCCGGACCCUUCAGGCUUCCGACUGGUCCAUAAUUGAAAAAAUGUGUGCGGGCCUGACACCUAAAAGAAGGGUAAUCUCAGUGUGCUACGAUGACAUAUUGAUAUUGACAGUCACAGGUUACCAGUGGCAGCUGAAACGUUCCUACUCUUCAUGUUGCCAAACACUUUUAUCGGAUACCAGGGUACCCUGGCCUUCCAUAUACUCAUAGCAGAAAAUCUCUUAAUAGCUAGGAAAUGGAAAUCAAAGGGCGCCCAAGGAAGGGAUGAAGUGGUACAACAGGUCACGACUAAUGGUAAAUAUGAGAGCGUGGCGUCUAUGGGCUCUAAUAGAAACAAGGAUAUUAGGAAAGCAUGGGAAAUUUGGGACGACCUUAUAAAUAACGAUUAGAGGGGCAUACAUGGUGUCCAGAGAAUAUGUGACCCACAUUCUCCAAUAACCUUGCCUGUGUACUCUACAGACAAGAUUAGGAGGGGGAAGUGUCAAGGGGACAAUUAUACCAAGCUCUAUAGGAUAAAAAAAACACAACAACUUUUCCAUUAUGGUUCCAAGAAGGCACUAUUUAAUUGUAGGUGCAGCAGGCACAAAGGAACCCAGAACAUCCCCACACCUUGGAAGGGACAAGUGCACCCCAUUUCUCCGGUAAGUCCCCUGAACGGGACUCGGACUCCCCACAGCACUAACCCCUCCAACACUGAGCUAUUGAAUAUCUAUAUGUAGGGAAGCUCUCCUUCACUUCUAAAGUACUUUAUCUCCUACUGUUCUAUCUUUCCUACUUUCCGAUCCGCUCUACCUUCACAAGAAAGACGGUCCCACGUCAAGUUGCCUUUUCAUCGGUGGACAAGUGUUUGAAGCAGUUACAACCUUUACUAAACAAUAGUUACUAUCCUGUGGGUUGACAAUGUUAUAAUGUAUGUUUCUUUUAGUGAGCAUAUAGCAUAAUGAUUUUAUGUGAUCAAAAUGAGCUACCGGCAGAGCAUUGAUGAUUACUGUUGGAACUUAAAGCGGCACUGUCAUGCCGAAACCCGUUUUUUUUUUUUAACCCCCCUCCCGCCUCCACUACAUCCAAUUGACCCACUAGUCACCCCCAAAUGCCCCUAAGCCCCCCACAUUACCUAUUUUUAAAUCCUUAUUUUCUGCCCCGAUCUUGAUUCAGGGCGCAGCCAUCUUUGUGUGGGUAGGUGAAGUCCCUGUGGGACACGUCAUCAGCCCACACUAGGCAGACACUGAGAUUCCCGCACAUGCCCAGUGAAACACCUGGACAUGCGAACGGGAAUUUCAUCUAUUCAUUCAUUCAUCAGACAGACGAAUGAGUGAAUAGAAAGAUCAGCCGAACAAACAAACACAAUGUAUCAGUGUAUCUGAGUAUCAGUGUAUGUUUGUUCGUGCAGUUUAUUACAAGGAGGGAGCUACCGGCGUGCAGCUCCCUCCUUGUAAUAUGUAACUAUAGAAGUGGCAGGGAGCAGUGCUCCCCACCACUUCAUAAGCCCCCCAGUACCCCCUCUCACUCUAUGGGGGUCAAUAUGACCCCCAUAAUAGCACAAGAGAGAUUUAAAUCUCCCAAAUGCCCCUACUCACUAUACCGCGAGUAGGGGCAUGUCUACAAAACAGUGAGCAGGACCUAUUGUCCUCCCCCCCUCCCCCACCC